GAUGAACGCUAGCGACAGGCCUAACACAUGCAAGUCGAGGGGCAGCAUUUUCAGCUUGCUGGAAGAUGGCGACCGGCGCACGGGUGAGUAACGCGUAUGCAACCUACCUUACACAGGGGGAUAGCCCAGAGAAAUCUGGAUUAAUACCGCAUAAUAAUUUAGAUCCGCAUGGGUUUAUAUUUAAAAUUACGAUGGUGUAAGAUGGGCAUGCGUAACAUUAGCUAGUUGGUAAGGUAACGGCUUACCAAGGCAAUGAUGUUUAGGGGGUCUGAGAGGAUAGUCCCCCACACUGGUACUGAGACACGGACCAGACUCCUACGGGAGGCAGCGGUGAGGAAUAUUGGUCAAUGGACGCAAGCCUGAACCAGCCAUGUCGCGUGCAGGAUGACGGCCCUACGGGUUGUAAACUGCUUUUUUACAGGAAUAAACUCUUCCACGUGUGGGAGACUGAAGGUACUGUAUGAAUAAGGAUCGGCUAACUCCGUGCCAGCAGCCGCGGUAAU
This 503-nucleotide ribosomal RNA is filed under the name uncultured bacterium. RNAcentral's name for it is "bacterial SSU rRNA". It matches the Rfam family "Bacterial small subunit ribosomal RNA", at positions 28 to 524 of the family's 1533-position model. The record is from RNAcentral.